Molecule: ribosomal RNA, 371 nt
Filed under: uncultured organism
Description: bacterial SSU rRNA
Rfam family: Bacterial small subunit ribosomal RNA
Source: RNAcentral
CGGAGGGUGCAAGCGUUAAUCGGAAUUACUGGGCGUAAAGCGCACGCAGGCGGUUUGUUAGGUCAGAUGUGAAAUCCCCGAGCUUAACUUGGGAACUGCAUUUGAAACUGGCAAGCUAGAGUCUUGUAGAGGGGGGUAGAAUUCCAGGUGUAGCGGUGAAAUGCGUAGAGAUCUGGAGGAAUACCGGUGGCGAAGGCGGCCCCCUGGACAAAGACUGACGCUCAGGUGCGAAAGCGUGGGGAGCAAACAGGAUUAGAUACCCUGGUAGUCCACGCUGUAAACGAUGUCGACUUGGAGGUUGUGCCCUUGAGGCGUGGCUUCCGGAGCUAACGCGUUAAGUCGACCGCCUGGGGAGUACGGCCGCAAGGUUA